Molecule: ribosomal RNA, 255 nt
Filed under: uncultured bacterium
Lineage: Bacteria
Description: partial 16S ribosomal RNA
Rfam family: Bacterial small subunit ribosomal RNA
Source: RNAcentral
UACGAAGGGGGGCUAGCGUUGUUCGGAAUUACUGGGCAUAAAGGGUGCGUAGGUGGCUUGUUAAGUCAGGGGUGAAAGUUUUCGGCCCAACCGGAAAAUGGCCUUUGAUACUGGCGAGCUCGAGUGCGUGAGGGGUAACCGGAACGAGCAGUGUAGCGGUGAAAUGCGUAGAUAUUGCUCGGAAGGCCAACGGCGAAGGCAGGUUACUGGUACGCAACUGACACUGAGGCACGAAAGCGUGGGGGAGCAAACAGG